GACGAACGCUGGCGGCGGGCUUAACACAUGCAAGUCGAACGGCAAGGCCCUGCUUUUGUGGGGGUCUCGAGUGGCCGACGGGUGAGUAAGACGUGGGUAACCUGCCCUUGACUUUGGGGUGACUUGAGGAAGCUGGGGCUAAUACCGGAUAGGAACUCUUUCUGCAUGGUGGGGGUUGGAUAUUUUCGGUGGUUGGGGAUGGACUCGCGGCUUACCGAUUUGUUGGUUGGGUGGUGGCUUGCCAAAGCGUUGACGGGUAGCGUGCCUGAGAGGGUGACCGGGCACCUUGCGCCUGAGAUACGGCCCAGAGUCGUAAGGGAGGCAGCAGUGGGGAAUCUUGCCCAAUGGGCGGAAGCCUGAUGGAGCAACGAGGCGUGCGGGAUGACGGCCUUCGGGUUUAAAACCGCUUUCGCCUGUGACGAAGCGUGAGUGACGGUACCGGGUAAAAAAGCACCGGCUAACUACGUG
Molecule: ribosomal RNA, 468 nt
Filed under: uncultured bacterium
Lineage: Bacteria
Description: partial 16S ribosomal RNA
Rfam family: Bacterial small subunit ribosomal RNA
Source: RNAcentral